RNA transcript from Artibeus jamaicensis (Jamaican fruit-eating bat), 9055 nucleotides. RefSeq lists it as uncharacterized. The transcript is spliced from 6 exons. NCBI's taxonomy places the organism in Eukaryota, Metazoa, Chordata, Mammalia, Chiroptera, Phyllostomidae. The record is from RefSeq and is a predicted model, not a curated record.
CUUACAAUUUAUUGGCUUAACCGCUUUUCUUGUCUUACAUUCUGAUUCUUUCAAUGUCCUUUCUAGAACGACUCCUCAAAUAAAUUACUGGUACUGAAAUUCUUUUCUCAGGGUCUGCUUUUAGGAAUGACAGGGUGAGAAAGGGGCAAAUUUGGUGCCUGACAUGGCCUGGGCCAAAACAUGUUCUCCAGGAGAGCGAGCGCGUGGAGCCAUAGGGCGGCUCGCUGCCACCUAGAAACUGUCACCAAGCGCCAUGAAGGGAUACGGCAGGGCUGACUCUGUUGAAGUAUUUCAUCACUUGGAUCAUAAUAAGAUGAUUUGGUUACUCCUUUAUUCCUCUUUUGAAGAACCGAGGUCAUUUGAACAGCAGUUUACUACAGUCUGCAUUUUGCUGAUGGCUUACCAAUGGUUCGCUCAGUUCAACAUGACCCAUAUACUUCUUGCAAAUUGGAAGCUGGAUCCAGGAGUUUGAUCAGACACAGGUUCAUCUUGUUCAUUUCAUGCCUUCUACCUGGAACCAGCCAUUCUUCAAGAAACACUGAUUUCUUUGAACGGGAAAUGACUUUCAAGACAAAAGUAAAGCAAGCUUGUUUUCUCAGAAGACUCAAUGACAUCUGUGAGCACAGAUCUUCUGGUCCUCGUGGUGGGAGACUGAAGGGGCCAGCGGAGCUGAGCUGGCCCGAAGAGAUUUGGGUAAGGAAAGAAGAGAUGCCUCCCACCCUCUUCUCCACUCCUGGGGCUCCCUCAGCACUUUCUUCUCUCGCCUUCCAAAUCCUAGGAAGUGCAAAGCCUGCCUCCUCCGUGCUUUCCUUGAUACCUGGUCCCCCUCUAUCUGCUUUUUCUUUUCUAAUGGAAAAGCCCGUCUCUCUAGUUCUGAAAGUAGCACAAGAAUCCCACUGCCUUGCCGUAUCCUCUCAUUAUGAGUCUGAUGUCCUCCUCCCAACAGCAAGCUUGCAGGCCUAGCCGGGCCUUAAAGUUUUGAUUCUCCCUCUGUUCAGUGGUGGUUUUCCUUGUUAAUGAAGUGACUAAUGAAAGAACCACGGAGCCUAACAGUUCAGGGACUCAUUAUUCAGGCUGCUCCCUGACAGUAGGGAGGUGCGAGGUUACCUGUGGUUUAAGGAUCACUUGUUGGUCAUCAUUCUGGUCAUCCAUCUUCAAACAGCUUCAGGAAACAUACCGUAUUUUGCUGUGUAUCACGCACACUUUUUUUGCCCCAAUUUUUUAGGGAAAAAUAAGGAUGGGCAUUAUACAUGGGUAUAAUAAUUACAUACCCUGGGUAUACUAAUGAGUAUAAUGAUCCUGUGCAUAAUGCACACAAAAAAUGUGGGCUCGAAAAUACAGUAAAAUACGGUAGUGCUGCAGAGAGCACUUGUUUCUUAUCUGUGUUUAUGGUCACAUUAGACCAAAUGCAAAACGAAGGUCUUUCUGAGGGAUUCCAGGCCCUUUUCUGUGACAGAAACCGUUGUGAGGGGGUGGACACGGGAGGGCAGGGCAGAGUGUGGGGCUGGAGACACACCUGGCUAUUCCAGCUCUACCCAGCCCCCACCUGCCACACUUUGCUACAUGGUUUGUCCUUUUAUUCCCCAUCGCAGCCCCUAUGCUUUAAAAACAAUUUAAAAAAUUUAAAUUAUAGUUGACAUACACUAUCAUAUUAGGUAGAGGUGUACAGUUAAAUGGUUAGACCUUCACAUAAUUUACUAAGUCAUCCCCCAGUAAGUCUAGUGCCCACCUGGCCCAAUACAGAGUUAUUACAAUAUUAUUGGCCAUGUUUUUCCCAUGCUGGACUUGACAUCCCCGUGACUGUUUAUAUCACUGCCAAUUUGUCCAUCUUAAUCCCUUUCCCCAUUUCCAUCCAGCUCCCAAACCUCUUUCCCAUCUAGCAGUCAUCAAAAUGUCCCUGGUGUCUAUGAGUUGAUGUCUGUUUCGUUGUUGGUUUAUUUUGUUUUUUAGUACCUUCAAGGACUGCUUUGAAGAUGGGCACUUGGAAACGUGUGUUUAGCCUUUGUAAACACCCCCUCCAAGGCUUUGCAAAGUCAACAGGAGGCAUUUUAAUUAUAGUUAUUUGCUCUCCACCCAUGAGUUUGCAGACAACUGGAGGUCAGACGCCCUGGUCUCGUCUUGCCGUUGGGAGGGACUGGAGCAGCCAGAUCAGAUGGAGCUGGCCAGGCUACUAAUGGAUGCCCUGAAUGAACGUGAGGGCAGGUGAGGGCCUAGGGAUCAGAGCCCUGGGCCCUGCUGGCGUUGGGACACCAUGACGCCUGGGUGCAGGUCUUCGUCCUCCAUGACCUCAUCUGGCCCAGGAAAUGGCACCGCCUCCAUUCUGUCCAGUCCUUCAUCCUCUCUCAUCCAGUGGUCUCGUAAGGUGGCAGAAGCUGAGUUCCCAUUCAUCUUGGAUAAAAGGAAAUAAACAUAGCCAAGGGUAAUGACAUUGCCCGAAGUCACACGGCCAGCAAGAUAAUUCAGAAGAGUCAACAGAAGCCCAGUUCCCGAAAGCAAGUGGAAAGCAUAGAUCUAGGGAUAAGGUUAAGAAGGCUAAGAAAAAGCCCCACCAGGAACAGACUUGGUUGUUUGGCAGCAAUUGCCUCUGAGGUUAUCCACUCUAUUCUGUGUUUACUGGGGGAAUGCAACCGGCCUUUAGUCCGCUGCCAGGAGACGAAAACCACCCAGAGAGAUGGAAGAUGGUCUGCUAGAGUCUGAAAAAAUAGAGUGGACAUGGUGCAGUGCUUUGUGCAAAGAGGAAAGGUGGAACUAAUGUGGAUUCUGGGAAUACAGUGGGAGAGGGAGAUUUUGCUCAUAAUUCUCAAGUGACUCUUCAGAGCAGAAAGAGACGGCUAUUACCAGAAAGAGAGGCCGUGCCUACAGGCCCAAGUGUUAGGGUCAAUUGGAUAAUUCAUUGGCAUUAAAGCCUCAGCUCAGAUAAAACAUCCCUCAAGGACAUCUGCCUUUCUGCACUCCGAUUUCGUGCUUAACACAUCCCUUCUGUUCACUAAUUUGGUUUCUUACAUAUUUUUUUAAAGGGAAAUAUUCUCUUGAUAAUGGAUCUGGCUAUUCUAGUUACUACAAAGAAGCCUUGUUCUUUGUAAAUCUAUACAUCGCUAUGGCAGCUUUUAAGCUGGUUUCUUUUAAAUUUGGUCUGUUGGAAAAGUUCUCUGAAUCUAGUCAAGUGCAUUUGAAUUCUGAUUGACUUAGCUUUUUUAGAUCACACAAAUAAUUCAUAUAUACUUUCUCACUGUAAAAGAUUCAAAAGAUUGAAAUAAAGUAGAAAUGAAAGCUCCUUUUAUCACCAGACCUCUAUCCCACUCCCAGCCUCAGGGAUAAUAAUUCUUAGGGGUCCAGUAUGUAGCUGUCAGACCCUUUUCUAUACAUUUAUAGAGAGGUGCCUAUUGUAUAUGUUGCAAAUAUUUUCUCAUCAGCCAUCACAUCUGUAUUAACUCCAAUUGUGGUGUCUUUUGUCAAGUAGACAUUUUCUUCAUGACUAUAGGUUUGGUGUCUCGUUUAAGAAGAAAACAUUAAUAUCUUAACUAGAAAAAUUGUACAUUCCUGUCUGACCCUGGUAAGAAAUAGCCUAAGUGACCUUGAGUGAGUCCAACACUCCUUUGAGCAUUAGUUUUCUAUCAUUACAUUCUUAUCAAAGUAAUGAAUUUUUUCAUUCCCAAUUCAUUUACUGUGGACCACAUUAUGCCACACCUAGAUGCUGGGGACACCUAAAUGAAUGUGACAUUCAAGGAAUAUACAGUCUAAUGGGAGGCGUGGGUGAAGAAACAGCUGUAGCAAUAACCACGAAGAAGGACAUGGGCGAGCAUAGACUUUUGUGCAGAAUCUCAUGGGAGCUGGUGGGAGGAACCAAGUGGUUUCGUAGGGCUUGUCCAAGUGAGGUCGAAGAACGGGAAGGGCAUGGUGGGCGGGCGGAGCCACAGGUACAGAGGCUGGAAGACAAGAGCGAGAAACUGCCAACACGCAACGGGAGUGACGACGGUGAUGAGCUCUGAGUCUGGAGAGGUCAGCAGGGCCUGUCGUCACCCAUAUCAUUGAGUUUAGCCUUUUUAAUGAGGACACCCAAGAACGCUUGGAGUUGGAAGCAGGACAGUGAGAUGUGGACUGACCUUUAGCAGAGACCCCUUUGGCCAGCCCAUGGAGAGGGGGUCAGAACAGGGCGCGAUCAGAGGCAGGGAGGCCAUGGGGAAAGAGACGGCAGCAGGGGAAAUAAAGGAGCAGCAGAGGAGACGGACGCACUGGGCAGAUUUGGGAAAUGCGCCUGCCUUCCCCACAGCUCAAAUGUGUUGUUUAUGAACUAAAAUAUUCCACUUCCUAAUGGAGUUGUAAGCACUGUGACAGGCCAGCAGGAAUAUCUCUGAACAGAGAAGACUUCCUGGAAGAAGCAAGGGUUACUAUAGUUGAAGUACACAUUUACUAUGUAUUCAGACCAUGCUUAUUCCACCCUUCACACUUUGAUCUUCUUUAUAUGACUGUGAACGUGAGAAUCAAGCAUCAGCCUGUCUGCCCUGCCCCGCCCUUUUCCCUACCGGCCCUAUUCCCGUGUUGGUUUUCUCCUGUGUGUGUGUUAGGAAACAGAGGGCUUGUUGUCCAUCUUGCCUCCCACUCGCAGCCCUGAUAUUGGCCGCCACUCACCUCACAAUUGUUCACUACUUGAAAACCUGGACCAGUGCGUGAGUCAAACCCCUCAACCAAGGGGCCAGAGGAGGUGUGAAUGGGAAAAGGGAAAGCUCUCUGAUGUUUUUUCAUCUUUUUAUUCUACAUGACACCACCUCUCAGAGUGAUUGAGGGACUUCACACUUUACUAAAGUGUUACCCUCAGUCAAAGAGAAUUAUAGAAGAGCAAAUGAUCAGAGCUGUAAUAGAUUUUUGACAUCGCUUCAAGGGAUCAGUGUUUCUCCCUGGUCUACCCUCAUCCCCAGCUCUGCUCCUGCUUCCUGCUCCCAAGCGAGGCACCAAGCGAGGUAUCAUGGGGGAGAGGACAUGCCCUUUGCCAGGAGCAAAGCUUUUCCUGUUGUAGCAUUAACCUGAAUUCAGCUCGGUCACUCAGAAGUGGAAAAACUACUGAACAGCAUUUCCCUGACCUGCUGCUGGCUAAUAGCCCCAACUGCUCAUGUUUUAGGAAAUCCAUCCCAGACAACGAGGUACAUUACGUGGGAGCCCCUGGGUUAGCAUUGUCUUCCCUUCCUGCUCUCUCAACGAGAGUGAGCCUGCCCUGCUAUGCAGACAGGCUCUGCGGGGCCAAAGCCCUGAGUGUGCCUGGCCACAGUGACAGAAAACGACUAUCAUCUUGAUGCUGCCAAUUGCCUUCGGCCUGACGUUUUGGUGGUCCUUUCAAAGAAAGCCAAGUUUGUUGACAUUCUUUUAAAAAAAUCUUUUAUUUAUCGACUUGAGAAAGAGAGAGGAACAUAGCUAUGCUGUUUCACUUAUUUAUGCAUUCACUGGUGGUUUCUCACAUGUGCCCUGACCUUGGGGCUAACCCACAACCUUGGUACGUGGGGAUUAUGCUCCAACCACCUGAGCUAUCUGGUCAGGGCCUAAGUUUGUUGACGUUUCUGAGUUUGGUUAUCAAAGACCCCAGGAAGCCCCUCCAUUAUUUGGCUGACAUCAAUUGCAUCUAUUUCUGUCCCUCAUGAUUAAAAAUAAGCUGAGUUGUUGGUGCUUUGGCCUAAAGAUGCCCAGUUUCACCCAUGUGACAGGUAGGCCUUAAACGGCAACAUGCUGAGGACAGGUGGAUGGGAAAGGGAACAAGUGGAAAUCCAUUGAGAAAGUUAUAAAAAUAUAUUUAUAUAUUUACAUGUGCUGUCUUAUUUGAUCCUGAAAUGAGGGGGACAUUUUGAUAUUUAUUUUAAAGAUGAGAAAACUGAAGUUCAAAGAUUGAGAAACCUGCCCAAGUGGUACAGGUUGGGGGGAGAAGGUAUGUGGACUGAUGUGAUGCGAGACCUCCGUGUUCCGACACCGUGGGCUGGAUCCCACGGUAUUCGCCUGCCCCUGGACAGGAGGUGCCAUUAACCGGGGAAGCCAGUGACCAGGGCCAGGUGAGUUUCCAGCUUGGUUUUGAAGAAGGGGAAAGAUGAGAUCUGGCAAACAGAGAAGAGUGGCGUUUGCUUUGGGGGUGGGACAAGGGAUUUAUUAAAUCUUGCACAUUAAGUGCAUCUGAUUGGGAGAUAGCAUUAGCACAGGGAACUUUUGUGUUUGAGCUGCAAUCAGCUUAGCAUUAUGGACUGUUAGCCUCUGGGUCUGCGCACAGUCACAGCGUUGAGUACCAUGGUCUCCAGUUCUGUUAGGAACUGGGAGCUGAGGAAAGCCAGGACUGCCGUGGGCUGGACAAUGGGAACCUGACUUUUUCUUUUCUCUUAGAGCUUGAAAGAACCCCUGUCAGGACCAGGAGCAUCAGCUGGGCACCGUGGGGCUAUUUGCAGCUUGACAGCCUCUGCUGAAUUAUUGAUGUCCCUCACCGGCCCUAGGACCUCCCCCUUGUUAACAAAUCUCACUCGGUAUUAAAAUUUAAAAAGGCAGAUGAGUGCAAUCUCUCGCCCUAUUAUUCCCCUCUUCUUUUACCAUCUGAGCUCUCAUUUUUAAGUCAAUCAGCCUGAAAGGCUUCCCUUGGGGGUUGGCACAGCUCAGAGAGCCAAGUUCAGGACAAGAAAAUUGAAGGCCGUGAGUAGGACUGUGACUUGAGUCUGGGGUCAUCUGCAGAGCCUGAGCUACUCAGGGCUGGGGAAGCUCUGACCCACGUCUUUUCCUUACAGUAAGGAGAACUGCCUGUAUAAAAAUCCUACAUGUAUCAAUGUUGUAUUUUCAUAAGAAACACAUAAGAAAAACAUGUCCAAUUUUCUGACUUCUACUGAAAAUCGGCAGCCGUGGGCUUUCAUUUCCACAUUGUGCCAUGUACAGGGGCUGACAGUGGCUACUCCUGUUAAUGAGGACUGGCCCCUUCGCUGGGCCUCAGUUUCUGUCACUCCCUCCUAGUGGCUGAAGCUGUGACCCUCGGUGUCAAAAAAGAUGGUGUACACAUUUUUUCACGUGCCUACUUAGGUCUGUGAGUGUUACAGAACAGAGGUCCAAGGGGGGGCAAUAUUUGGCCCACCCAGGGAUGCCAAAAACUGUUACAGAAAACAGGGGCCCCUCCCAAGGAUGGUAUACUAAUAUCUACCGGGCUCGUCUGUCCACCACCAAAGGAAAGACAUCUCUCAAUGCCAUAGAUUUGUGAAAAGGAAAGGAAAUGUUUAUUUAAAGCUGUACAGACUUAAAGUAGGGACCCAAUGUCCAAUAUAUCAAAGUCCUUUAAGAUAACCACAGAUGCCCUAAUUCAGGGUACCAUAUCUCAGGAAAAGAAGCACAGGUCUGUGUUUCAGGCUGCUGGUACUGUCAGCUGUAUUGCCAUCCAGGCAGGGUACCCAAUUAAUCCAACAUCAUGUGGUACCUUCUCAUGGUCCACUGGCAAGAGUUCUUUGUACCCAUUUUUCCAGGCAAAGUCUCUCCUGCUUCCUAGGCCACAUGGCCAAAGGGAGCACUCCAAGGCCUUGUGGGCAUCUUUUACCAAAGCUGCAGGGGUCUGCACUCCACCAAAAGCAUGUGGCUUUCUUCUUCACCUGGCUGCAGAGGUCCCCACUCUGACAAAGCCACGUGGUUCUCUUUCACCUGGGCAAGAGGGGGGUCCUCACUCUGCUAAAGCUGCGUGGCUCUCCCUCCAAUGGCUGCCGCGUCUGGGUUUAAAAUCUUUGCACCAAUCUUCCUCUGUACCCCUAUUUCCAACUCCUCCCAUGAUCAGUUAUACCUGCCAGUAUUUCUGUAUUAUUACAACUUUACUGGGCUGCCAUCGUGAGUCUGGGCAGGUAUUCCCAUGUCCUAGAGCCAAUCUUCUCCAAGGUCCCAUGCAGGCACUGUAACUCAGAGGACCUGCCCCCCAGUUACCUCUUGGGGGGAAGUGACUUCAUCCCUGUGGCUCCAAGCCUGGACACAGCCAUUUAACAUAUCCAAGAGACCUGCCAAAGGCUAUAGAUACAUUAAAUAACCAUGCCAUGGAUUAGCUGCAAGGCUGUGGCUGUAUAAAACAGCCCUGCAUGUUCCUGCUCCAUGUGUCCCUUCCCCCAACUCACACCUGUGGGGGUGAGGACAUCUUAUAUGUCUCUCCAAUAAUUCCUAUAUACCUUGAGUUCUGGACACCAUUCCAAAUCUCUUUUGGGGGCCCCCCUCUUGGCUGCACCCUGUAUCAUGAGGACUGCCUGUAGUGCCUCAAAGGGUCUGAUCAGCUGUGGGAGGCUGAAUCGCAGUCCCCAGUGGCCUGCCUCCCCUCCCCUGACAGAGGGUUGCGUGUCUUUGAGCACUGCUGUGUGGCUGUGUGCGUGGAUCAUUCCAGCAGAAGCUUUCAGAGGCAUCGUGGGUCAGCACCAGCUCCCAGGCUCCUUCCCUCUGCCUGGGGAACAGCACUCCCUAUGAUCCUUCAGCCUGGGCCCCAGAAAAGGGAAAGCACACACGGUACAGACCAGCAUCUGACUCGGAGCUGAGCCACAUACGGGAACAGAGCAGCAGCCAACUCCCAGCCUUUGGUGAUGGGAGCCACUGAGAACCGGGGGCAUUCCAGCAGGACUGGGCUUGCUAGGAAAGGGUCGUGUGAUGGAAAAGCAAGGUCUGCCUCUUUCUGAGGAGAGAAAAAUGAUGGCAUUGGGGUUUUAAUGUUAGUUUCGAUUGUCUUUAAUUAACAGUAACCUUGGAGGAUGCUGGAAAAACCAUGGUGGUGGAUCAGAAGAACUGGAUUGAGUUCCUGAAUGACCAUGUUAUAAAAUUUUGAAUAAUUUUCCUUACAGUAAAAAGAAUUGCCUUUGUAAAAAUUCUACACAUAUCAACGUUGUAUUUUCAGUUAAUUUUGUAACAGUAAAGAGGAAAUUGCAGAGUACUUGUCAUGUAAAUGGUGUCUAGCAUCCGAUUGAGUCUUUGCUAUUGUCUUCUUGUGAGGAUCAAAAGGCCUAAGUGUUUAAAGAAUGCUUCGGCAACAUCAAGUGAUGACAAACUCUGGUUGUCACUGGUUCGCAGCCCCUGACCCUUCCUUGUUCUUCAG